AAUAGAUACCCCGGUAGUCCACGCCGUAAACGAUGAGUGCUAAGUGUUGGGGGGUUUCCGCUCCUCAGUGCUGCAGCUAACGCAUUAAGCACUCCGCCUGGGGAGUACGGUCGCAAGACUGAAACUCAAAGGAAUUGACGGGGGCCCGCACAAGCGGUGGAGCAUGUGGUUUAAUUCGAAGCAACGCGAAGAACCUUACCAGGUCUUGACAUCCCGGUGACCACUAUGGAGACAUAGUUUCCCCCUUCGGGGGCAACGGUGACAGGUGGUGCAUGGUUGUCGUCAGCUCGUGUCGUGAGAUGUUGGGUUAAGUCCCGCAACGAGCGCAACCCUUAUUCUUAGUUGCCAUCAUUCAGUUGGGCACUCUAAGGAGACUGCCGGUGAUAAACCGGAGGAAGGUGGGGAGUGACGUCAAAUCAUCAUGCCCCUUAUGACCUGGGCUACACACGUGCUACAAUGGACGGUACAAACGGUUGCCAACCCGCGAGGGGGAGCUAAUCCGAUAAAACCGUUCUCAGUUCGGAUUGUAGGCUGCAACUCGCCUAC
This 546-nucleotide ribosomal RNA is filed under the name uncultured bacterium. RNAcentral's name for it is "bacterial SSU rRNA". It matches the Rfam family "Bacterial small subunit ribosomal RNA", at positions 777 to 1319 of the family's 1533-position model. The record is from RNAcentral.